Molecule: ribosomal RNA, 468 nt
Filed under: uncultured bacterium
Lineage: Bacteria
Description: partial 16S ribosomal RNA
Rfam family: Bacterial small subunit ribosomal RNA
Source: RNAcentral
GACGAACGCUGGCGGCGUGCUUAACACAUGCAAGUCGAACGGAAAGGCCCUGCUUUUGUGGGGUUCUCGAGUGGCGAACGGGUGAGUAACACGUGAGUAACCUGCCCUUCACUUUGGUAUAACUUCAGGAAACUGGGGCUAAUCCCGGAUAGGAGCUCCUGCUGCAUGGUGGGGGUUGGAAAGUUUCGGCGGUUGGGGAUGGACGGCCGGCUUAUCGGCUUGUUGGUGGGGUAGUGGCUUACCAAGGCUUUGAUGGGUAGCCGGCCGGGGAGGGUGACCGGCCACAUGGGGACUGAGAUACGGCCAAGACUCCUACGGGAGGCAGCAGGGGGGAAUAUUGCACAAUGGGCGGAAGCCUGAUGCAGCAACGCCGCGUGCGGGAGAACGGCCUUCGGGUUGUAAACCGCUUUGGCCUGGGACGAAGCGUGAGUGACGGUAAUGGGUAAAGAAGCACCGGCUAACUACGUG